RNAcentral lists this transfer RNA (82 nucleotides) under Anaerolineaceae bacterium. Its description in RNAcentral is "tRNA-Leu". It matches the Rfam family "tRNA". Rfam says of the family: Transfer RNA (tRNA) molecules are approximately 80 nucleotides in length. Their secondary structure includes four short double-helical elements and three loops (D, anti-codon, and T loops). Lineage: Bacteria; Bacillati; Chloroflexota; Anaerolineae; Anaerolineales; Anaerolineaceae. The record is from RNAcentral.
GGGGAAGUGGCGGAACUGGCAGACGCGCAUGACUUAGGAUCAUGUCUCUUUUGAGGUGAGGGUUCGAAUCCCUCCUUCCCCA